GGAGCAGUGUGUGUGUGUGUGUGUGUGUGUGUGUGUGUGUGUGUGUGUGUCCCUGUGCACGUGCGUGCAACUUGUCUCACGCCGGACUGUCA
Molecule: microRNA precursor, 92 nt
Filed under: Sorex araneus (European shrew)
Lineage: Eukaryota; Metazoa; Chordata; Mammalia; Eulipotyphla; Soricidae
Description: miRNA (ENSSARG00000016959.1)
Source: RNAcentral